GACGAACGCUGGCGGCGUGCUUAACACAUGCAAGUCGAGCGGAGAUAUAUGAAAGCUUGCUUUAGGUAUCUUAGCGGCGGACGGGUGAGUAACGCGUGGGCAACCUGCCUUGUACUGGGGAAUAACAACGGGAAACUGGUGCUAAUACCGCCUAAUAUCACGAUGCGGCAUCAUGUUGUGAUCAAAGGAGCGAUCCGGUAUGAGAUGCGCCCGCGUGGGAUUAGCUAGUUGGUAGGGUAAUGGCCUACGAAGGCGACGGUCGGUAGCCGAACUGAGUGGUAGAUCGGCCACAUUGGGACUGCGACACGGCGCAGACGCCUGCGGGAGGGAGCAGUGGGGAGUAGUGCGCAAUGGGGGAAACCCUUACGCAGCAACGCCGCGUGAAGGAUGAAGGCUUUCGGGUUGUAAACUUCUUUGAUGAGGGACGAUAAUGACGGUACCUCGAAAACAAGCCACGGCUAACUACGUGCCAGCCGCCGCCGUAA
RNAcentral lists this ribosomal RNA (485 nucleotides) under uncultured bacterium. RNAcentral's name for it is "partial 16S ribosomal RNA". It matches the Rfam family "Bacterial small subunit ribosomal RNA", at positions 28 to 523 of the family's 1533-position model. The record is from RNAcentral.